UACGACUACAUAUCAGGCAUAUCAAUAAGCGGAGGAAAAGAAACUAACAAGGAUUCCCUUAGUAACGGCGAGUGAAGCGGGAAGAGCUCAAAUUUGAAAUCUUCAAGGUUUUACCUUGACGAAUUGUAGUUUAAAGAAGUGUUUUCUGUUGAAGUUUCGGUAAAAGUUCUUUGGAAUAGGACAUCAUAGAGGGUGAGAAUCCCGUAUUUGACCGUUAUUUUCAGCUGUGUGAUACACUUUCAAAGAGUCGGAUUGUUUGGGAAUGCAGUCCAAAAUGGGUGGUAAAUUUCAUCUAAAGCUAAAUAUUGGCGAGAGACCGAUAGCGAACAAGUACCGUGAGGGAAAGAUGAAAAGAACUUUGAAAAGAGAGUUAAACAGUACGUGAAAUUGUCAAAAGGGAAGCGUUUGACACCAGUGUUGUUUUCUCGAAAGUCAAUUAAAAAAUAGUUGGAUUUUGUGUUGUAUUGACCUUAACAGCUUGCUUCACUCUUUUCCAGCUUUUUUUAAUGCACUUUUCGUUUAACAAGUCAACAUCAGUUUCUUUUGUUGUAAAAGGGUCAUUGGAAGGUGGCUUUCUCUUCGGAGAAAGUGUUUAUAGCCUUUGAUCUCUGCAAUCGGAGAGACUGAGGUCUGCAGCGUAGAUCCUUCGGGGUUAGAUACAUUUGUGCUAAGCUACAGCUUUUCAUAGACAACUUGUUGACUAUGUUUAGUCUUGUAACUUACCCGCUUAUGCUAUUUUACCUACGCUUAGGAUGUUGAGCGCAUGUCUCUCUCU
Molecule: ribosomal RNA, 775 nt
Filed under: uncultured Neocallimastigales
Lineage: Eukaryota; Fungi; Neocallimastigomycota; Neocallimastigomycetes; Neocallimastigales
Description: partial large subunit ribosomal RNA
Rfam family: Eukaryotic large subunit ribosomal RNA
Source: RNAcentral